UGCGAGUNUUGUAGCAAUACAAGGCGGACGGCUCAGUAACACGUAGUCAACCUAACUCGUGGACGUGGAUAACCUCGGGAAACUGAGAAUAAACCACGAUAGAUCAUAGUGCCUGGAAUGGCUUAUGGUCCAAACAGUUUACUGCCAUGGGAUGGGACUGCGGCCUAUCAGCUUGUUGGUGAGGUAAUGGCCCACCAAGGCGAUUACAGGUACGGGCUCUGAGAGGAGUAGCCCGGAGAUGGGUACUGAGACACGGACCCAGGCCCUAUGGGGCGCAGCAGGCGAGAAACCUUAGCAAUGUGCGAAAGCACGACUGGGUCAGUCCGAGUGAUUCCUGAUAAAGGAGUCUUUUGCCUGUCCUAAAAGCACAGGUGAAUAAGGGGUGGGCAAGUCUGGUGUCAGCCGCCGCGGUAAUACCAGCACCUCGAGUGGUCAGGACGUUUAUUGGGCCUAAAGCAUCCGUAGCCGGCUCUGCAAGUCUUCGGUUAAAUCCACCUGCUCAACAGAUGGGCCGCUGGAGAUACUACAGAGCUAGGGAGUGGGAGAGGCAGACGGUAUUCAGUGGGUAGGGGUAAAAUCCUCUGAUCCAUUGAGGACCACCAGUGGCGAAGGCGGUCUGCCANAACACGUUCGACGGUGAGGGAUGAAAGCUGGGGGAGCAAACCGGAUUAGAUACCCGGGUAGUCCCAGCUGUAAACGAUGCAAACUCGGUGAUGCAUUGGCUUAUGGCCAAUGCAGUGCCGCAGGGAAGCCGUUAAGUUUGCCGCCUGGGAAGUACGGACGCAAGUCUGAAACUUAAAGGAAUUGGCGGGGGAGCACCACAAGGGGUGAAGCCUGCGGUUCAAUUGGAGUCAACGCCGGAA
Molecule: ribosomal RNA, 863 nt
Filed under: uncultured archaeon
Lineage: Archaea
Description: bacterial SSU rRNA
Rfam family: Archaeal small subunit ribosomal RNA
Source: RNAcentral